Molecule: ribosomal RNA, 580 nt
Filed under: uncultured bacterium
Lineage: Bacteria
Description: partial 16S ribosomal RNA
Rfam family: Bacterial small subunit ribosomal RNA
Source: RNAcentral
CUAAGAAUAUUCCGCAAUGGACGGAAGUCUGACGGAGCGACGCCGCGUGGAUGACGAAGGCCGAAAGGUUGUAAAGUUCUUUUGCUGGGGAAGAAUAACCGCAGGAGGGAAUGCCUGUGGGAUGACAAGAACCGGCGAAUAAGCCCCGGCCAACUACGUGCCAGCAGCCGCGGUAACACGUAGGGGGGCGAGCGUUGUUCGGAAUUACUGGGCGUAAAGGGCAUGUAGGCGGCUUGGAAAGCCUGGCGUGAAAGUCUGCAGCUUAACUGCAGGGGUGCGCUGGGAACUGCUGAGCUUGAGUGACGGAGAGGGAGCUGGAAUUCCUGGUGUAGGGGUGAAAUCUGUAGAUAUCAGGAAGAACACCGAUGGCGAAGGCAAGCUCCUGGCCGAUGACUGACGCUGAGGUGCGAAAGUGUGGGGGAUCAAAACAGGAUUAGAUACCCUGGUAGUCCACACAGUCAACGAUGUGCACUAGGUGCUGGGGCGGUAGCUUCGGUGCCGGAGCGAACGUGGUAAGUGCACCGCCUGGGGGAGUAUGCUCGCAAGGGUGAAACUCAAAUGAAUUGACGGGGGUCAUAGC